RNAcentral lists this ribosomal RNA (382 nucleotides) under uncultured eukaryote. RNAcentral's name for it is "partial 18S ribosomal RNA". It matches the Rfam family "Eukaryotic small subunit ribosomal RNA", at positions 592 to 976 of the family's 1831-position model. The record is from RNAcentral.
UGUAAGCGUAUACCAAAGUUGUUGCAGUUAAAACGCUCGUAGUCGGAAUUUGGCAGUUCCGGAUGUGUGCACGUCGUGUGCGCACUUCGCGGGGAUUGCUUUUGUGGUCUUGCGUAGGAUGAGGCACUUUUAUUAGUGAACGUCCUCACGCAACCACUUUUUACUGUGAGAAAAUCAGAGUGCUCAAAGCAGGCAUUUGCCGUGAAUGUAUUAGCAUGGAAUAAUAGAAUAGGACUUGGUUCUAUCUUGUUGGUUUGUUGGGACUGAGUAAUGAUUAAGAGGGACAGUUGGGGGCAUUUGUAUUUCGGUGCUAGAGGUGAAAUUCUUAGAUUACCGAAAGACAAACUGCUGCGAAAGCGUCUGCCAAGGAUGUUUUCAUUGA